Molecule: long non-coding RNA, 2321 nt
Filed under: Arabidopsis thaliana (thale cress)
Lineage: Eukaryota; Viridiplantae; Streptophyta; Magnoliopsida; Brassicales; Brassicaceae
Description: ncRNA (AT1G07728)
Source: RNAcentral
AGGUUAAACAAAAAGAUUUAUAAAGAAGAAUGUGAUUUAGGCGUGAGUGUGAACAACACACGUACAAGAAGAUCAGAUCAAUAGAGAACAAAAGCAAGCACAAGUACACACUGAUUCUGAAUAUGGCAAAUGAAAUGUAGACUUUUAUAUCUAUGGUCUAUAAUUUGAAGCCCAAAAUUGAUAUAUGGGCUUUUAGCCUAGGACCGGCCUAUGAUUCGUUGAUUUCACAGAGUUACACGUAUGAGGGCUUUUUACAUGGAGCUAUUACUUCAAAUCCGUCGUAUGGCUUGGGCUAACCAUAUACUUCUUAGUUUUGGAUACGGGCACGGAUCUUCCUAAACCAACAUAUAGGUCGGUUAUGUAAUUAUUUAGAUCUUCAGGGGUAAAUCUGACAAUAUUGCAUGACCCGACCGGGUGUUUCUUAUAGAAACCCGUAUACCCGGGCAUUAGUUUUCUCGCUAUGGACGCUUGGAUCUCGUCUCUCAGGUUCGGGUCGGGUACGACCCAUGUCUUGUGCUUCUUGUAAGCCUCUUCGAACGCCUCGUUGAACCGUCUCAGAGACUCCUCCGCCUCCGUCCCCGCCGUUGAAUCACCGGGGAGCGACGCUAUCACAUCCCCCCAGGCCAUUUUUUCGUAUUUCUCGAGGUAUUGAUUCACUUUAACCUCGUGAUUCGCUACCCAAUCGUCUCCGAGUACGAGUCUGAGAUUCGAUGUACGGACCUUGGUCACAACGUAAUGGAGGUUGUUCGCUAGGAAGAGAUACGAUAGAGCCGAGUCGUUGUAGAGCCGAGAUUUGGCGUCGAUUUUACAGAGCAAGACGAGAAUCAACCACGCGAGUCUCGCCGCCAUCGGAGAACGAUCACCGGAUCCUGGAUUCUCUUCGCCGCUGCUACUGAAGUAAUCCUCCGGUAAAGGUAACGAUGACUCCUUGAGAAUGGUGGCGAGAGAAUCGCUGUAGUCUGCGAGGAAGACGAUGAAGUUCAUCACAUACCUCGUGAGCUGAUGAACUCCGCCGCCAGAAAUCGCCGAUUUCGACGAUUCCUUCGUAAUCGACGAUUGAAACUCCGUCAUCAUUGCAUUCACCGAUUCCGAUAGCUUCUCUAGAGAUUCAUUCGCCUGUAAUCUAACGGCAGCGGUUGAAUCGUAGCUAAAAAUCUGAUCGAUUUUGGGAGUCAGUUGCAAGAUCGUCUGGUAAACGUCAAGCGUAGGGAAGAUCUUCUCUGCAGUUUUUCUGGAUUUCGCUACGGUUAGUGAGAAGAUGAAGAGGUUUAACGCGCUCUGUAGCGUUAUGUCAACGAAGCAAGAUUCAGCGACGGAGGAGGAGAAAAUGUGAUCGGAAAGGAUUCGUUCUCCGUUGAACAGAGUGGUGAUUGCUACUCUCGCAACAAUCACCCAUAUUUUGAUCUUCUUCUCCAGAAUCUCCCAUUCCAGUUUCUGCAUCUGUGUAGAGAGGAGAUCAUGCAAUUUGCUAUCAUCUUCAAAUCAACAAUAGCAUCAGAAUUCCCUCCUCCUCCUAUGUCUUUACCUAAUUCCGAUGAGGAUUCAGAGUAAAGCUCUCCAUCUGAUGAAGAAUCCGAAGCGGUUCCACUUGAUCUCGAAGGUAUGUUGGAUUCAGAAGACCAACCAGAGACGGAUUCUGGACUCAGAAAGCGGCGAUUCGAUUUCAAAACCCGGUAAAACUCCUUCUCCAAAUGCUUCAUAGCUUUCCGCAUCAAAUCCUGUCCUUUAGCAAGCUUAGCGGAGUCCGGAUUCAUAGCAACGGUGCUCUGAAUGGCGUAUUGUAACUUGCCGAGAACCUCGAGGAAGCGUCUGCCUUCUAGGCGGUUUUGAGCGGAGAAGAGGGAAGAGAGGCUGCAUGAAGAAGAAGAAGAGUCGCAGAGGUGUGGAGUAACCCAUUGGCAUAUGAAGGCGUCAGCUGCCUCCACACUAUCGCCGAUUAGAGACUCGGAGAAGCCCUGUUGCUGUUGCGGCCCGACCUUAGAGGAUUUUGAUAAGGUGGUGGGUUUCAAGAGCACCAUUGUUUCUUGGGUUUGAAGAAAUGGGUCUUAAGGUGUUGGGGUAUUUAUUUACCAUCUUCGGUUUCUUGUUUCGGCGACUGUUUUUUUUUGUUGGAGCCGUUCCAAGUUCGUCAAAAUGUACACGCUGGUCAUCCGUUUAUGUCUCUCAUUUUGUUUUCUAAGUCUUUGAUUUUGGGACAACAAAUUGUUUGUGUUAAAUUUAGACUGAAAUUUACAGGUUGUAUGGAUAAAACACAUGCAUGUAUACAUCAUUGUCUUUCUUAAUUUAGAGGUAUAGUUUGUUAAAUGAUCAGUCACAGUGGU